GGUGAAUUUUCCGCAAUGGGCGCAAGCCUGACGGAGCAAUACCGCGUGAGGGAGGAAGGCUCUUGGGUCGUAAACCUCUUUUAUCAGGGAAGAACACAAUGACGGUACCUGAUGAAUCAGCAUCGGCUAACUCUGUGCCAGCAGCCGCGGUAAUACAGAGGAUGCAAGCGUUAUCCGGAAUUAUUGGGCGUAAAGCGUCCGCAGGUGGUUAUGAAAGUUUGCUGUCAAAGCGCGAGGCUCAACUUCGUAACGGCGGUGAAAACUUCAAGACUAGAGCUAGGUAGGGGUCACGGGAAUUCCCAGUGUAGCGGUGAAAUGCGUAGAUAUUGGGAAGAACACCAGCGGCGAAAGCGCGUGACUGGGCCUGAGCUGACACUCAUGGACGAAAGCUAGGGGAGCGAAAGGGAUUAGAUACCCCUGUAGUCCUAGCCGUAAACGAUGACAACUAGGUGUUGCCCGUAUCGACCCGGGCAGUGCCGUAGCCAACGCGUUAAGUUGUC
RNAcentral lists this ribosomal RNA (500 nucleotides) under uncultured cyanobacterium. RNAcentral's name for it is "bacterial SSU rRNA". It matches the Rfam family "Bacterial small subunit ribosomal RNA", at positions 356 to 869 of the family's 1533-position model. The record is from RNAcentral. Lineage: Bacteria; Bacillati; Cyanobacteriota.